GCCGGGUGUGGUGGCUCACGCCUGUAAUCCAAGCGCUUUGGAGGCCAAGGUGGGCGGAUCACCUGAGGUCGGGAGUUCCAGACCAGCCUGACCAACAUGGUGAAACUCCGUCUUUAAAAAAAAAAAAAGAAACGUGGUAGCACCAUGUUGACCAGGCUGGUCUCGAACUCCUGACCUCAGGUGAUCCACCCACCUU
RNAcentral lists this signal recognition particle RNA (196 nucleotides) under Callithrix jacchus (white-tufted-ear marmoset). RNAcentral's name for it is "Metazoan signal recognition particle RNA (ENSCJAG00000057072.2)". The stretch from base 1 to 116 matches the Rfam family "Metazoan signal recognition particle RNA". From Rfam's summary of the family: The signal recognition particle (SRP) is a universally conserved ribonucleoprotein. Lineage: Eukaryota; Metazoa; Chordata; Mammalia; Primates; Cebidae. The record is from RNAcentral.